GAUGAACGCUGGCGGCGUGCCUAAUACAUGCAAGUAGAACGCUGAAGGAAGGAGCUUGCUCUUUCCGGAUGAGUUGCGCACGGGUGAGUAACGCGUAGGUAACCUGCCUGGUAGCGGGGGAUAACUAUUGGAAACGAUAGCUAAUACCGCAUAACAGUAGAUGUUGCAUGAUAUCUACUUAAAAGGUGCAAUUGCACCACUACCAGAUGGACCUGCGUUGUAUUAGCUAGUUGGUGAGGUAACGGCUCACCAAGGCGACGAUACAUAGCCGACCUGAGAGGGUGAUCGGCCACACUGGGACUGGGACACGGCCCAGACUCCUACGGGAGGCAGCAGUAGGGAAUCUUCGGCAAUGGACGGAAGUCUGACCGUGCAACGCCGCGUGAGUGAAGAAGGUUGUCGGAUCGUAAAGCUCUGUUGUAAGAGAAGAACGAGUGUGAGAGUGGAAAGUUCACACUGUGACGGUAUCUUACCAGAAAGGGACGGCUAACUACGUG
Molecule: ribosomal RNA, 497 nt
Filed under: uncultured bacterium
Lineage: Bacteria
Description: partial 16S ribosomal RNA
Rfam family: Bacterial small subunit ribosomal RNA
Source: RNAcentral